AAGUCGUAACAAGGUCUCCGUUGGUGAACCAGCGGAGGGAUCAUUACCGAGUUUACAACUCCCAACCCUCUGUGAACGUACCUACAAGUUGCUUCGGCGGAAGGCCCUUUAGGGGGCGGCCCGCCGAAGGCCUACAAACACCUGUAUUUUUGGCAUCUCUGAGUUACCUAUAAAAUAAGUUAAAACUUUCAACAACGGAUCUCUUGGUUCUG
RNAcentral lists this unclassified non-coding RNA (212 nucleotides) under fungal sp. RNAcentral describes it as "partial internal transcribed spacer region". The stretch from base 1 to 46 matches the Rfam family "Eukaryotic small subunit ribosomal RNA", at positions 1786 to 1831 of the family's 1831-position model. Lineage: Eukaryota; Fungi. The record is from RNAcentral.